This 605-nucleotide long non-coding RNA is filed under the name Trifolium pratense (red clover). RNAcentral's name for it is "long non-coding RNA (TPRA_LNC013054)". The record is from RNAcentral. Lineage: Eukaryota; Viridiplantae; Streptophyta; Magnoliopsida; Fabales; Fabaceae.
UCAACAUUAUAAUAUAAAAUACCACAUAAUACUUGUGCAUCGCACGGGUGUGAGACUAGUUUUAUAAGCAAAAUUGAUAUUUUAGGUUCAUUGUAUAUAUUUAGACUCUAUUUUACAAAAAUAGCGGAUGACUAAUAAGCUAAUUAAAGUGUUUGGUAAAAUUAGUGGUUCAACUAGCCGUUAAAUGUAAAAUGACAUUCUUAUUUAAUAAUAAAAAUUAUAAUUUAAAUAGUAAUUUUUUUAUUAAGGGGAAAAUAAAAAGACAACAAGACAAACUAACGAGAACGUUGUCUCAACCAAUCAGCACAUUCAUUCCGUUCUCUAAGAGUAUGAGAGAAACAUAAAGACCAAUUAGCGUCCGGAGGAUACGAAUCUGAUCAAGAACAAUUGUGUGAGGGUGAAAAUUAUUGUCAUCUUCAAGGAUGAGUUCAAUAUCUGAAAUUAUGGUGUAAGAUUAAUAUAGUUUUUUGGGAUGAAUUUUGACUUAGGUGAUUAACUAUGAAUUGUGAUUUAGUUAGUUCUUUUGAUGGUUUAUGGUUUAGUUCACUUAUAUAAUGUUGACUUAUAUAAUGAAUGAAUGGAUUAUGGUUUAAAUUGUGGUUAAG